GACGAACGCUGGCGGCGUGCUUAACACAUGCAAGUCGAACGGUAAGGCCCCUUCGGGGGUACACGAGUGGCGAACGGGUGAGUAACACGUGAGCAACCUGCCCUUGACUCUGGAAUAACAGUUGGAAACAGCUGCUAAUACUGGAUAUUCAUCGUCUCCUUCCUGGGGGGUGGUGGAAAGCUCCGGCGGUCAGGGAUGGGCUCGCGGCCUAUCAGCUUGUUGGUGAGGUAAUGGCUCACCAAGGCUUCGACGGGUAGCCGGCCUGAGAGGGCGACCGGCCACACUGGGACUGAGAUACGGCCCAGACUCCUACGGGAGGCAGCAGUGGGGAAUAUUGCACAAUGGGCGCAAGCCUGAUGCAGCAACGCCGCGUGCGGGAUGACGGCCUUCGGGUUGUAAACCGCUUUCAGUAGGGACGAAGGGUGACUGACGGUACCUACAGAAGAAGGACCGGCUAACUACGU
RNAcentral lists this ribosomal RNA (464 nucleotides) under uncultured bacterium. RNAcentral describes it as "partial 16S ribosomal RNA". It matches the Rfam family "Bacterial small subunit ribosomal RNA", at positions 28 to 506 of the family's 1533-position model. The record is from RNAcentral.